RNAcentral lists this ribosomal RNA (253 nucleotides) under uncultured bacterium. Its description in RNAcentral is "partial 16S ribosomal RNA". It matches the Rfam family "Bacterial small subunit ribosomal RNA", at positions 524 to 776 of the family's 1533-position model. The record is from RNAcentral.
UACGUAGGGGGCGAGCGUUGUCCGAAGUUACUGGGCGUAAAGGGCGCGUAGGCGGAUAUCUAAGUUGGGGGUGAAAUCCCGGGGCUCAACCUCGGAAUUGCCUUCAAAACUGGAUAUCUUGAGUUCGGGAGAGGUGAGUGGGACUCCGAGUGUAGAGGUGAAAUUCGUAGAUAUUCGGAAGAACACCAGUGGCGAAGGCGACUCACUGGCCCGAUACUGACGCUGAGGCGCGAAAGCGUGGGGAGCAAACAGG